GGGUGAGGGGUGCUAGGCUCUCAGUGCUCUGUAAGCCCAGCUCUGACAUUGCGUGGGUGAGGGGUGCUAGGCUCUCAGUGCUCUAUAAGUCCAGCUCUGACACUGCCUGGGUGUGGGGUGCUAGGCCCCCAGUGCCUGAGUUUCUAUAUCUGUGAGCCCAGCUAUGACACUGCAUGGGUGAGGGGUGCUAGGCCCUCAGUGCCUCAGUUUCCACAUCUGUACGCUGGGUCUCUAAAUGGUGCUGACCAUCAUGGAGUGGUUGUAAGGAGUUAAUGACUCAUAUGCAUGAAGUUCUUAGAACAGGCCUUCCCCUUUGCCAGCACUCAAUAAAUAUCAGUUAUUAUGAGCAAUAUUAGGGUCAGGCUAUAAUAAUGAAGGGUGCUGUUUUGUCCCUGAGAGGACUGGAACCUAGAUGGAAUGAGAAAUAAUAACAGCAGCCAUCAUUUGAAUUUCCCGUGUAUGUGGGGCAGCAGACUAGCACAUUGAGUAAAUAUCUCAAGUAAAUACAAAUCCAGGUGGAAACAGAGAAGGAACCUAUGACAGAAACUGUGCAGCCAGGAGAGGCCAGAUCUACAUGCGCUCAGAACACAGGGUGUCGGCAAAGGUUCCCCGAGAGUCCAUUUCAACCAGUUGUGAGAAGAGACGGCAGAGCUCAGACAAGCAGGUGCGAGGAGCGAGCUGACUGCAAACAACAGCAGAGGACAUUUCCUGCGAUGGCGGGGAGUACCUUUCCUAGGUGUCUUUUAAAGCAGAAUGUUUUCCCACCCUGCGGGGAGAGGGCUGUUCGGUGUGAACCUGCUGGCGAGGAGGAGGGAGUGAAAUAUUUACAGAGCAUCCUCCGGCAGGCUGGAUUUUCAGAGCAUCGCUGUGAAGAGCCCUCCAGGUGCCCAGCUUCCAGUCUCAGCUCCGAUACUCAGAGGCGUGUGAUGUCCUAGCCUCAGCUUCCCGGUCUGUUCGAUGGAUGAUCAUUUUUCCCCUGACAACUGGGAAAACACAAAGCAAAACACAGCUCCAAUAAAAUUG
This 1023-nucleotide long non-coding RNA is filed under the name Rhinopithecus bieti (black snub-nosed monkey). Its description in RNAcentral is "lncRNA (ENSRBIG00000045594.1)". Lineage: Eukaryota; Metazoa; Chordata; Mammalia; Primates; Cercopithecidae. The record is from RNAcentral.